Chrysemys picta bellii (western painted turtle) is the source of this 366-nucleotide non-coding RNA. Lineage: Eukaryota; Metazoa; Chordata; Testudines; Emydidae. The record is from the annotation of a RefSeq genome assembly.
AUGACACUGUCACUGCUCUUCUCCCUUUUCCUACUCGCCGCCCCAUCAGGUGUCCUCUCCCAGGUGCAGCUGGUCCAGACCGGCCCGGGGGCAGUGAAGCCCUCAGAGACCCUCAGUAUCACCUGUAAGGUUUCUGGUGUCUCUGUCAGCAGCAACUAUUGGGGCUGGGUCCGACAGCCACCGGGGAAAGGGCUGGAGUGGAUGGGGCGCAUGCGGAGCACUGCAGACGGAGGCACCACAGAUUACAGCUCGGCUUUCAGUAGCCGGAUCACCAUCACCAGGGACACCUCGAAGGACGAAGUCUAUCUCCAGCUCCGCUCACUGACAGCUACAGACACCGGCACCUAUUACUGCGCCAGAGACACA